AUGCCUGGGGAUUUCCGUGCAUUUUCUGUUAUUACCCAAGAUGACAUGUCCUUUCUUUUCACCCAGGCCUGUGAAUUUGAGAGCCUGAAAGGAGGCAUGUGCCUGUGCUUGGGUAAUCUAGUCCCUUGUCUAGAUUACAAGGACAGACGACAUGAAAUGAUGGAGCCUCUAGGAAGGAAUAAAGAGGAGUCUCUGUACCUCCUGUUGAGGAAUGGCCUCAAAGACGUGUUGUUAAAUGAAAAGAAAAACAAAGGGCGGAAGACUAUAUAGAGUGGACAAGCUAAGGAAAAAUAAACCUAUGUGUAUGAUUGUAAGUAUGCA
Molecule: long non-coding RNA, 321 nt
Filed under: Sus scrofa (pig)
Lineage: Eukaryota; Metazoa; Chordata; Mammalia; Artiodactyla; Suidae
Description: lncRNA (ENSSSCG00060033468.1)
Source: RNAcentral